UGGGGAAUUUUGGACAAUGGACGAAAGUCUGAUCCAGCGACGCCGCGUGAGUGAUGAAGGCCUUCGGGUUGUAAAACUCUUUUAGCAGGAACGAAAAAAAUGACGGUACUUGCAGAAAAAGCACCGGCUAACUCCGUGCCAGCAGCCGCGGUAAUACGGAGGGUGCAAGCGUUAUUCGGAUUUACUGGGCGUAAAGCGCGUGUAGGCGGCUUGAUAAGUCUGAUGUGAAAUCCCUGGACUCAAUUCAGGAAGUGCAUUGGAUACUGUCAGACUAGAGUGCAGGAGAGGAUGGCGGAAUUCCUGGUGUAGAGGUGAAAUUCGUAGAUAUCAGGAGGAACAACAGUGGCGAAGGCGGCCAUCUGGACUGCAACUGACGCUAAGGCGCGAAAGCGUGGGGAGCAAACA
RNAcentral lists this ribosomal RNA (405 nucleotides) under uncultured prokaryote. RNAcentral describes it as "bacterial SSU rRNA". It matches the Rfam family "Bacterial small subunit ribosomal RNA", at positions 355 to 774 of the family's 1533-position model. The record is from RNAcentral.